GCGAGAGUAAUUCAGUGGCAGAAUGCAAGCUUCCCAAGCUUGACGUCGCGGGUUCAAUCCCCGUCUCUCGCUCCA
Molecule: transfer RNA, 75 nt
Filed under: Deltaproteobacteria bacterium
Lineage: Bacteria; Pseudomonadati; Myxococcota; Myxococcia
Description: tRNA-Gly
Rfam family: tRNA
About the family: Transfer RNA (tRNA) molecules are approximately 80 nucleotides in length. Their secondary structure includes four short double-helical elements and three loops (D, anti-codon, and T loops).
Source: RNAcentral